RNAcentral lists this ribosomal RNA (1440 nucleotides) under Staphylococcus aureus. RNAcentral's name for it is "bacterial SSU rRNA". It matches the Rfam family "Bacterial small subunit ribosomal RNA". The record is from RNAcentral. Lineage: Bacteria; Bacillati; Bacillota; Bacilli; Caryophanales; Staphylococcaceae.
GGCGUGCCUAAUACAUGCAAGUCGAGCGAACGGACGAGAAGCUUGCUUCUCUGAUGUUAGCGGCGGACGGGUGAGUAACACGUGGAUAACCUACCUAUAAGACUGGGAUAACUUCGGGAAACCGGAGCUAAUACCGGAUAAUAUUUUGAACCGCAUGGUUCAAAAGUGAAAGACGGUCUUGCUGUCACUUAUAGAUGGAUCCGCGCUGCAUUAGCUAGUUGGUAAGGUAACGGCUUACCAAGGCAACGAUGCAUAGCCGACCUGAGAGGGUGAUCGGCCACACUGGAACUGAGACACGGUCCAGACUCCUACGGGAGGCAGCAGUAGGGAAUCUUCCGCAAUGGGCGAAAGCCUGACGGAGCAACGCCGCGUGAGUGAUGAAGGUCUUCGGAUCGUAAAACUCUGUUAUUAGGGAAGAACAUAUGUGUAAGUAACUGUGCACAUCUUGACGGUACCUAAUCAGAAAGCCACGGCUAACUACGUGCCAGCAGCCGCGGUAAUACGUAGGUGGCAAGCGUUAUCCGGAAUUAUUGGGCGUAAAGCGCGCGUAGGCGGUUUUUUAAGUCUGAUGUGAAAGCCCACGGCUCAACCGUGGAGGGUCAUUGGAAACUGGAAAACUUGAGUGCAGAAGAGGAAAGUGGAAUUCCAUGUGUAGCGGUGAAAUGCGCAGAGAUAUGGAGGAACACCAGUGGCGAAGGCGACUUUCUGGUCUGUAACUGACGCUGAUGUGCGAAAGCGUGGGGAUCAAACAGGAUUAGAUACCCUGGUAGUCCACGCCGUAAACGAUGAGUGCUAAGUGUUAGGGGGUUUCCGCCCCUUAGUGCUGCAGCUAACGCAUUAAGCACUCCGCCUGGGGAGUACGACCGCAAGGUUGAAACUCAAAGGAAUUGACGGGGACCCGCACAAGCGGUGGAGCAUGUGGUUUAAUUCGAAGCAACGCGAAGAACCUUACCAAAUCUUGACAUCCUUUGACAACUCUAGAGAUAGAGCUUUCCCCUUCGGGGGACAAAGUGACAGGUGGUGCAUGGUUGUCGUCAGCUCGUGUCGUGAGAUGUUGGGUUAAGUCCCGCAACGAGCGCAACCCUUAAGCUUAGUUGCCAUCAUUAAGUUGGGCACUCUAAGUUGACUGCCGGUGACAAACCGGAGGAAGGUGGGGAUGACGUCAAAUCAUCAUGCCCCUUAUGAUUUGGGCUACACACGUGCUACAAUGGACAAUACAAAGGGCAGCGAAACCGCGAGGUCAAGCAAAUCCCAUAAAGUUGUUCUCAGUUCGGAUUGUAGUCUGCAACUCGACUACAUGAAGCUGGAAUCGCUAGUAAUCGUAGAUCAGCAUGCUACGGUGAAUACGUUCCCGGGUCUUGUACACACCGCCCGUCACACCACGAGAGUUUGUAACACCCGAAGCCGGUGGAGUAACCUUUUAGGAGCUAGCCGUCGAAG